RNAcentral lists this long non-coding RNA (624 nucleotides) under Felis catus (domestic cat). Its description in RNAcentral is "lncRNA (ENSFCAG00000044288.2)". Lineage: Eukaryota; Metazoa; Chordata; Mammalia; Carnivora; Felidae. The record is from RNAcentral.
ACCCAAAGGCUCUCGGAGUGAAAAUCAUGUGAUAAAUGGGACCAAUCAAAGUGGGAGCGUUUUCUCCGGAGGGAAGCUUGGGGAGACUUUCAGGAAGGGGCCGGACCAGUGCCAUUCAACACGCCAUCGGAGUUUCCACCCAGAGAAGCUGAGACUUCGCCGACUGCCUGACAUCUUUCACUUUGAGCUGGAUAACUGUAGUGUCUUUCCAAAGUCACUGCCUCGAAACACCAGCUUGUCAGACUCUGGACUGUCUCCCAGCAAAGCACUGGCCUUCACAGAGCCCCGCAAGAGCAGCUCACUACAUGGAUUUCAUGGUUGGCUAAGAGGCCAGGAGGAGAAGUUUGAAGAAUGCCGCAGCCCACGGUUCAAUUGCUGAGAGCCGAGUGAACAACCAGUCGCAAUUCCAAAUUCUACAGCAGAGGGUGAGAAUUCCUACUGAGGCGAGGUGACGUCUGAAAGCAGAACCCGGUGGUCAACGUCAAGUCACCCGACCUCACCGAGUCGACAAAUAUUUGUUGGGCAUCUGGCGUGUGCCGCUGCAGUCAACGAGAAAGUCCGGGGAGCUUUCGUUCUCGUAGGGGAGGUUAACGUAAACGCUAAUAAAUACCAUAAAAAUGAUCA